Molecule: ribosomal RNA, 1382 nt
Filed under: uncultured bacterium
Lineage: Bacteria
Description: bacterial SSU rRNA
Rfam family: Bacterial small subunit ribosomal RNA
Source: RNAcentral
CCUGGCUCACGAUUAACGCUAGCUACAGGCUUAACACAUGCAAGUCGAGGGGCAGCAUCAUCAAAGCUUGCUUUGAUGGAUGGCGACCGGCGCACGGGUGAGUAACACGUAGUCCACCUGCCGACAACACUGGGAUAGCCUUUCGAAAGAAAGAUUAAUACCGGAUGGCAUAAUUAUUCCGCAUGGGAUAAUUAUUAAAGAAUUUCGGUUGUCGAUGGGGAUGCGUUCCAUUAGGCAGUUGGCGGGGUAACGGCCCACCAAACCUACGAUGGAUAGGGGUUCUGAGAGGAAGGUCCCCCACAUUGGAACUGAGACACGGUCCAAACUCCUACGGGAGGCAGCAGUGAGGAAUAUUGGUCAAUGGACGAGAGUCUGAACCAGCCAAGUAGCGUGAAGGAUGACUGCCCUAUGGGUUGUAAACUUCUUUUAUACGGGAAUAAAGUGAGCCACGUGUGGCUUUUUGUAUGUACCGUAUGAAUAAGGAUCGGCUAACUCCGUGCCAGCAGCCGCGGUAAUACGGAGGAUUCGAGCGUUAUCCGGAUUUAUUGGGUUUAAAGGGAGCGUAGGCGGGUUGUUAAGUCAGUUGUGAAAGUUUGCGGUUCAACCGUAAAAUUGCAGUGGAUACUGGCGACCUUGAGUGCAACAGAGGUAGGCGGAAUUCGCGGUGUAGCGGUGAAAUGCUUAGAUAUCACGAAGAACUUCGAUUGCGAAGGCAGCUUACUGGAUUGUAACUGACGCUGAUGCUCGAAAGUGUGGGUAUCAAACAGGAUUAGAUACCCUGGUAGUCCACACAGUAAACGAUGAAUACUCGCUGUUGGCGAUAUACAGUCAGCGGCCAAGCGAAAGCAUUAAGUAUUCCACCUGGGGAGUACGCCGGCAACGGUGAAACUCAAAGGAAUUGACGGGGGCCCGCACAAGCGGAGGAACAUGUGGUUUAAUUCGAUGAUACGCGAGGAACCUUACCCGGGCUUAAAUUGCAACUGACGGAACCGGAAACGGUUCUUUCUUCGGACAGUUGUGAAGGUGCUGCAUGGUUGUCGUCAGCUCGUGCCGUGAGGUGUCGGCUUAAGUGCCAUAACGAGCGCAACCCUUACGGGUAGUUACCAUCAGGUUAUGCUGGGGACUCUACCCGGACUGCCGUCGUAAGAUGUGAGGAAGGUGGGGAUGACGUCAAAUCAGCACGGCCCUUACGUCCGGGGCUACACACGUGUUACAAUGGGGGGUACAGAAGGCAGCUACACGGCGACGUGGUGCUAAUCCCAAAAGCCUCUCUCAGUUCGGAUUGGAGUCUGCAACCCGACUCCAUGAAGCUGGAUUCGCUAGUAAUCGCGCAUCAGCCACGGCGCGGUGAAUACGUUCCCGGGCCUUGCACACACCGCCCG